GACGAACCGUGCGAACGUUGUUCGGAAUCACUGGGCUUAAAGGGCGCGUAGGCGGGCUUGCAAGUCUGCGGUGAAAGCCUCCAGCUCAACUGGAGAAGUGCCGUGGAUACUGCGGGCCUCGAGGAGGGUAGGGGCAUCUGGAACGUUGGGUGGAGCGGUGAAAUGCGUUGAUAUCCAACGGAACUCCGGUGGCGAAGGCGAGGUGCUGGACCCUUUCUGACGCUGAGGCGCGAAAGCCAGGGGAGCGAACGGG
RNAcentral lists this ribosomal RNA (253 nucleotides) under uncultured bacterium. RNAcentral's name for it is "partial 16S ribosomal RNA". It matches the Rfam family "Bacterial small subunit ribosomal RNA", at positions 524 to 776 of the family's 1533-position model. The record is from RNAcentral.